UAAUCCAACUCAACACGGAGAAUCUCACCAAAGGCGACGGCAGGAUGAAAGUCAGAUUAAAGGUCUUACUUAACAAGCCGAGAGGUGGUGCAUGGCCGCCGUCAGCUCGUGCUGUGAAGUGUCCUGUUAAGUCAGGCAACGAGCGAGACCUGUACCUACAAUUGCCAGCAACAUCUUUAGAUGGAUUGGGCACAUUGUAGGAACUGCCCUGGAAACAGGGAGGAAGGUGCAGGCAACGGUAGGUCUGUAUGCCCCGAAUCCUUUGGGCUACACGCGCGCAACAAUGGUAUGGACAAUGGGAUGCAACUCUGUAAAGAGAAGCUAAACCUCUAAACCAUAUCUCAGUUCAGAUCGUGGUUUGUAACUCAGCCACGUGACGCUGGAAUCCCUAGUAACCAGAUUUUAGCAUAAUCCGGUGAAUAUGUCCCUGCUCCUUGUACACACCGCCCGUCAAGCCAACCGAGCAGGUUCUAGAUGAACUCUGGUCUUUUAAUCAGGUUGAAUCUGGGAUCAGUGAGGUGGGCUAAGUCGUAACAAGGUAGCCUCAGUCAGUCAA
Molecule: ribosomal RNA, 556 nt
Filed under: uncultured archaeon
Lineage: Archaea
Description: bacterial SSU rRNA
Rfam family: Archaeal small subunit ribosomal RNA
Source: RNAcentral